Molecule: ribosomal RNA, 253 nt
Filed under: uncultured bacterium
Lineage: Bacteria
Description: partial 16S ribosomal RNA
Rfam family: Bacterial small subunit ribosomal RNA
Source: RNAcentral
GACGAACCGUGCGAACGUUGUUCGGAAUCACUGGGCUUAAAGGGCGCGUAGGCGGGCGGGCAAGUCUGCGGUGAAAGCCUCCAGCUCAACUGGAGAAGUGCCGUGGAUACUGCUCAUCUUGAGGAGGGUAGGGGCGUCUGGAACGUUGGGUGGAGCGGUGAAAUGCGUUGAUAUCCAACGGAACGCCGGUGGCGAAGGCGAGGCGCUGGACCCUUUCUGACGCUGAGGAGCGAAAGCAUGGGGAGCGAACAGG